This 477-nucleotide ribosomal RNA is filed under the name uncultured Hydrogenophaga sp. Its description in RNAcentral is "bacterial SSU rRNA". It matches the Rfam family "Bacterial small subunit ribosomal RNA", at positions 97 to 570 of the family's 1533-position model. Lineage: Bacteria; Pseudomonadati; Pseudomonadota; Betaproteobacteria; Burkholderiales; Comamonadaceae. The record is from RNAcentral.
GGCGAACGGGUGAGUAAUGCAUCGGAACGUGCCCAAUCGUGGGGGAUAACGCAGCGAAAGCUGUGCUAAUACCGCAUACGAUCUAUGGAUGAAAGCGGGGGACCUUCGGGCCUCGCGCGAUUGGAGCGGCCGAUGUUAGAUUAGGUAGUUGGUGGGGUAAAGGCUCACCAAGCCGACGAUCUAUAGCUGGUCUGAGAGGACGACCAUCCACACUGGAACUGAGACACGGUCCAGACUCCUACGGGAGGCAGCAGUGGGGAAUUUUGGACAAUGGGCGCAAGCCUGAUCCAGCAAUACCGCGUGCAGGAAGAAGGCCUUCGGGUUGUAAACUGCUUUUGUACGGAACGAAAAGGCUCUUUCUAAUAAAGAGGGCUCAUGACGGUACCGUAAGAAUAAGCACCGGCUAACUACGUGCCAGCAGCCGCGGUAAUACGUAGGGUGCGAGCGUUAAUCGGAAUUACUGGGCGUAAAGCGUGC